GGACGGGUUCCCGAGCGGCCAAAGGGAGCGGACUGUAAAUCCGUUGUCACAGACUACGAUGGUUCGAAUCCAUCCCCGUCCACCA
This 85-nucleotide transfer RNA is filed under the name Clostridium sp. RNAcentral describes it as "tRNA-Tyr". It matches the Rfam family "tRNA". Rfam says of the family: Transfer RNA (tRNA) molecules are approximately 80 nucleotides in length. Their secondary structure includes four short double-helical elements and three loops (D, anti-codon, and T loops). RNAcentral also lists the same sequence under 7 other names. The record is from RNAcentral. Lineage: Bacteria; Bacillati; Bacillota; Clostridia; Eubacteriales; Clostridiaceae.